Non-coding RNA from Chelonoidis abingdonii (Abingdon island giant tortoise), 103 nucleotides. The record is from RefSeq and is a predicted model, not a curated record. NCBI's taxonomy places the organism in Eukaryota, Metazoa, Chordata, Testudines, Testudinidae.
GUCAUGAUUUCAUUCAGUGGUGAGAAAUUGAAUUGGAGUUGACGACAAAGCAGGAAAACUUGUCUUUCUCUUCCAGUCUAUGAAUAAAAAUGAGGAGGUUGAG